UAACCCCGAACGGUGGAUCACUCGGCUCGCGGAU
Molecule: ribosomal RNA, 34 nt
Filed under: Bemisia tabaci
Lineage: Eukaryota; Metazoa; Arthropoda; Insecta; Hemiptera; Aleyrodidae
Description: partial 5.8S ribosomal RNA
Source: RNAcentral